AAAGUUGUUCUAGUUUUGUAACUAAAAUGGUUUGGCAGUGAGCGAUUCUUAUUAGGGGAAUAUGCAUAGUGAAGGAUGGUCCACCUAUUAGUUUACUCUUUUUAUGUUGGUGUAUGUCUGGUUUGAUAUUAUUGUUGAAUAAUUUAAGUUUGUGUAGUUUUAGUUAAGCUAAGUCUAUGUGCUGCUUAUGGGAGUUUUUGUGUGUUACAUUAAUAAGGGUGUUAUUGUAAGAUGAUGUGAUUUAGG
Molecule: ribosomal RNA, 246 nt
Filed under: Echinococcus granulosus
Lineage: Eukaryota; Metazoa; Platyhelminthes; Cestoda; Cyclophyllidea; Taeniidae
Description: partial 12S ribosomal RNA
Source: RNAcentral